UCGCCGAAAGACCAAGGGUUCCUGCGUAAAGCUAAUCUGCGCAGGGUUAGCCGGCCCCUAAGGCGAGGCCGAAAGGCGUAGUCGAUGGGAACCACGUUAAUAUUCGUGGGCCUGGUGGUAGUGACGGAUCUCGUGUGUUGUAUCUCCUUACUGGAUUGGAGGUGCAGCGAAGAGGUUCCAGGAAAUAGCUCCACCGUAUAAACCGUACCCGAAACCGACACAGGUGGGCAGGUAGAGUAUACCAAGGCGCUUGAGAGAACUAUGUUGAAGGAACUCGGCAAAUUGCACGCGUAACUUC
This 298-nucleotide ribosomal RNA is filed under the name Pseudo-nitzschia fraudulenta. RNAcentral describes it as "partial Bacterial large subunit ribosomal RNA". It matches the Rfam family "Bacterial large subunit ribosomal RNA", at positions 1334 to 1737 of the family's 2925-position model. The record is from RNAcentral. Lineage: Eukaryota; Bacillariophyta; Bacillariophyceae; Bacillariales; Bacillariaceae.